RNAcentral lists this long non-coding RNA (205 nucleotides) under Brassica napus (rape). Its description in RNAcentral is "long non-coding RNA (BNAP_LNC022834)". Lineage: Eukaryota; Viridiplantae; Streptophyta; Magnoliopsida; Brassicales; Brassicaceae. The record is from RNAcentral.
GACAUUCCUAGCUAAUGAGUCAGCAAUACCAUUUUGCACCCUUGGGAAGUAUUCAAUUUUGAAGUCCGGUAAACACAUCUUGAGAAGUGGAAUGACCACCAACUCAGUUGAGAAAUUUGGUCAUGCUUGUGGAUCCACUACCAUUGCAAUCAUGUCCUUGCAAUCCGUCCCAAAUCUCUGACAUGUCGAGUGCUGUAGCAUGCUC